CGACGGGUGAGUAACACGUAUGCAAUCCACCUGUAACAGGGGAUAACCCGGAGAAAUCCGGACUAAUACCCAUAAUAUGGGCGCUCCGCAUGGAGAGUUCAUUAAAGAGAGCAAUUUUGGUUACAGACGAGCAUGCGCUCCAUUAGCCAGUUGGCGGGGUAACGGCCCACCAAGGCGACGAUGGAUAGGGGUUCUGAGAGGAAGGUCCCCCACAUUGGAACUGAGACACGGUCCAA
This 236-nucleotide ribosomal RNA is filed under the name uncultured bacterium. RNAcentral's name for it is "partial 16S ribosomal RNA". It matches the Rfam family "Bacterial small subunit ribosomal RNA", at positions 102 to 334 of the family's 1533-position model. The record is from RNAcentral.